UAGGGAAUCUUCCACAAUGGGACGAAAGUCUGAUGGAGCAACGCCGCGUGAGUGAAGAAGGUUUUCGGAUCGUAAAGCUCUGUUGUUGGUGAAGAAGGAUAGAGGCAGUAACUGGUCCUUAUUUGACGGUAAUCAACCAGAAAGUCACGGCUAACUACGUGCCAC
This 165-nucleotide ribosomal RNA is filed under the name uncultured bacterium. Its description in RNAcentral is "partial 16S rRNA". It matches the Rfam family "Bacterial small subunit ribosomal RNA", at positions 355 to 511 of the family's 1533-position model. The record is from RNAcentral.